AACGAACGCUGGCGGCGGGGUUUAGGCAUGCAAGUCGAGCGAGAAAGUCUUCGGACGAGUAAAGCGGCGUAAGGGUGAGUAAUAGGUAGUCAACGUAUCCACGAGACGCGAAUAAUUCCCCGAAAGGGGUUGUAAUGCGCGAUGAGACCACAGUUCCCACGGGGAUCGAGGUCAAAGGUUCGGGAUCCUUCGGGACCGAGCGGCUCAUGGAGCGGACGACCUCCGAUUAGCUAGAUGGCGGGGUAACGGCCCACCAUGGCGAUGAUCGGUAGCCGGCCUGAGAGGGUGUUCGGCCACACUGGGACUGAGACACUGCCCAGAUUCCUACGGGAGGCUGCAGUCGCGAAUCAUUCACAAUGGACGCAAGUCUGAUGAUGCCACGCCGCGUGCGGGAUGAAGGCCCUUUGGGUUGUAAACCGCUGUCAAGGGAGGGGAACCGCGGAACGUAAACAGCGUUCCGUCUGACUGCUUUACUAAAGGAA
RNAcentral lists this ribosomal RNA (482 nucleotides) under uncultured bacterium. Its description in RNAcentral is "bacterial SSU rRNA". It matches the Rfam family "Bacterial small subunit ribosomal RNA", at positions 29 to 489 of the family's 1533-position model. The record is from RNAcentral.